This is an unclassified non-coding RNA of Pongo abelii (Sumatran orangutan), 298 nucleotides long. It matches the Rfam family "Metazoan signal recognition particle RNA". Rfam says of the family: The signal recognition particle (SRP) is a universally conserved ribonucleoprotein. It is involved in the co-translational targeting of proteins to membranes. The record is from Ensembl. Lineage: Eukaryota; Metazoa; Chordata; Mammalia; Primates; Hominidae.
GCCAGGCAGUGACAAGUGCCUGUAGCCCGAGCUACUCAGAAGGCUGAGGCAGGUGGAUCACUUGAGCCCAGGAGUUCUGGGCUGUAGUGUGCUAUGCUGAUUGGGUGUCUGCACUAAAUUCAGCAUCAAUAUAGUAACCUCCCAGGAGCUGGGGACCACCAGGUUGCCUAAAGAGGGGUGAACCAGCCCAGGUUGGAAAUGGAGCAGGUCAAAGCUCCUGGGCUGAUCGGUAGUGGCUUCAUGCCUGUGAAGAGCCACUGCAUUCUAGCUUGGGCAACACAGUGAGACCCCAUCUCUA